This 492-nucleotide ribosomal RNA is filed under the name uncultured bacterium. RNAcentral's name for it is "bacterial SSU rRNA". It matches the Rfam family "Bacterial small subunit ribosomal RNA", at positions 903 to 1397 of the family's 1533-position model. The record is from RNAcentral.
AAAGGAAUAGACGGGAGCCCGCACAAGCAGUGGAGUAUGUGGUUUAAUUCGACGCAACGCGAAAAACCUUACCAAGGAUUGACAUCCUGAGAAUACCGAGUAAUGUUGGUAGUGCCUCUUCGGAGGAACUCAGAGACAGGUGGUGCAUGGUUGUCGUCAGCUCGUGUCGUGAGAUGUUGGGUUAAGUCCCGCAACGAGCGCAACCCUUACUGUUAGUUGCUACGCAAGAGCACUCUGGCAGGACUGCCGUUGACAAAACGGAGGAAGGUGGGGACGACGUCAAAUCAUCAUGCCCCUUAUAUCUUGGGCUACACACGUACUACAAUGGCGCAAACAAAGGGUCGCAAUCCCGCGAGGGGGAGCAAAUCCCAUAAAAGGCGUCCCAGUUCGGACUGCAGGCUGCAACUCGCCUGCACGAAGUUGGAAUUGCUAGUAAUCGCGGAUCAGCAUGCCGCGGUGAAUACGUUCCCGGGCUUUGUACACACCGCCCGU